UCAGGCCUAACCACAUGCAAGUCGAACGGUAACAGGAAGNAGCUUGCUUCUUUGCUGACGAGUGGCGGACGGGUGAGUAAUGUCUGGGAAACUGCCUGAUGGAGGGGGAUAACUACUGGAAACGGUAGCUAAUACCGCAUAACGUCGCAAGACCAAAGAGGGGGACCUUCGGGCCUCUUGCCAUCGGAUGUGCCCAGAUGGGAUUAGCUAGUAGGUGGGGUAACGGCUCACCUAGGCGACGAUCCCUAGCUGGUCUGAGAGGAUGACCAGCCACACUGGAACUGAGACACGGUCCAGACUCCUACGGGAGGCAGCAGUGGGGAAUAUUGCACAAUGGGCGCAAGCCUGAUGCAGCCAUGCCGCGUGUAUGAAGAAGGCCUUCGGGUUGUAAAGUACUUUCAGCGGGGAGGAAGGGAGUAAAGUUAAUACCUUUGCUCAUUGACGUACCCGCAGAAGAAGCACCGGCUA
RNAcentral lists this ribosomal RNA (468 nucleotides) under uncultured bacterium. RNAcentral's name for it is "bacterial SSU rRNA". It matches the Rfam family "Bacterial small subunit ribosomal RNA", at positions 42 to 499 of the family's 1533-position model. The record is from RNAcentral.